Molecule: non-coding RNA, 289 nt
Organism: Linepithema humile (Argentine ant)
Lineage: Eukaryota; Metazoa; Arthropoda; Insecta; Hymenoptera; Formicidae
Source: RefSeq, a predicted model, not a curated record
AAUCGAUAAGUUUCCAAAAAUCUAAAGAAACUAUGGAAAGUAAUCAGAAAAAAGACAUACCCUCCAACGCUGGUCCCGCAAAAUGGCCGAUCAAAUGAAGAGCAGAACGUGAUGAUGUAAAUCCCGAGGUUAAGUUUUCAAAUACAGCACCGAACUGUACUACUGCACACGAAUGUUGCGGGCUGCACACUUCAUCAAUGUAAAGACUAAUGUCCCAGUGACCCGGAUCAUUGUCAUCAGGAGGAUUGAGAGAAUUUGCAUAUUUGCAAAACGAAUUGAGCACUUCGUC